GGAGAAGGGGAGGAGUGAGUCUCUGAGCGGGUAUUGGCUAGGAUGAACCUACCACACAAACCACAUAUACAGAUUUGUUGCAGACUGGGAGACAUGCAUUCUGUUUGCAAGCUGACAAAGUCUGUUCUACAUUCUGCUCCCAGCUACGUGACCAGGAUCACGAAUUCAUGCACAUUUUCUGCUGCUUUUUCUGGUAAGUUGACCUCACUAAGAAUUAUCCUGUAUUUAUGGUGUACUAAUGCCCACGCUCCCUAUCACUCUUACGAAAACCACUAUUUUACAGAGAGUCUUACAAUCCAUAGGUUAUCUCUGUGCUAGGAGAAGAAAGCCACAAAAAUUUGACUCAACAGCAGCGUGUAGGCUCAGUGCUCAGAGUUGAUAAAAACUUUGGGAUGUUAGGCUUAACACCUUCUCCACCCAAGUGGUUUCAUGCCAGUAAUAUUUCAAAGUGAUUCAAGGAUUCUUUUUUCCAGUGAACAGUGCUUGAAAGAUAGCAGGCUGCAAUGAAGAUCAUAACAAUCCUGUAAUUGUUCUUUGGAAAUUAUCAUCAGGGAAAGUCCUGGGAGUUGUCCUGGAGCUGUUUUGUGUUGUUCCCCAAUAAAGAGCAAGACACCUGCCA
Molecule: long non-coding RNA, 619 nt
Filed under: Numida meleagris (helmeted guineafowl)
Lineage: Eukaryota; Metazoa; Chordata; Aves; Galliformes; Numididae
Description: lncRNA (ENSNMEG00000017802.1)
Source: RNAcentral